UGGGAAUUUUUUCGCAAUGGGCGCAAGCCUGACGGAGCAAGACCGCGUGAGGGAAGAAGGUCUGUGGAUUGUAAACCUCUUUUGAUAGGGAAGAAGACAGUGACGGUACCUAUCGAAUCAGCCUCGGCUAACUCCGUGCCAGCAGCCGCGGUAAUACGGAGGAGGCAAGCGUUAUCCGGAAUUAUUGGGCGUAAAGAGUCCGUAGGUGGGUAACCAAGUCAGUUGUUAAAACGUGAAGCUUAACUUCAUAGCGGCGACUGAAACUGGUUGUCUAGAGUGUGGUAGGGGUAGAGGGAAUUUCCAGUGUAGCGGUGAAAUGCGUAGAUAUUGGAAAGAACACCGGUGGCGAAAGCGCUCUACUGGCC
This 365-nucleotide ribosomal RNA is filed under the name uncultured cyanobacterium. RNAcentral's name for it is "bacterial SSU rRNA". It matches the Rfam family "Bacterial small subunit ribosomal RNA", at positions 355 to 734 of the family's 1533-position model. Lineage: Bacteria; Bacillati; Cyanobacteriota. The record is from RNAcentral.